ACAAAUCGGUUGUGAUGUCCCUCGCAAACGAUCUCAAAGAAUACUUCACCCUGAAUGAGCCAUCAGUGUCCUCCCCGUUUACAUUGUGGGCAGCCCACAAACCAGUUAUAAGAGGCAAACUGAUAUCUAUAGCGACGGCACGCAAAAAACGCCAUAACAAACAAUUAAUGGAAACCAUAGCAGAAAUAGGCCGUCUUGAGACCCUGCAUAAACUCCACCCAGACCCCUCACACUUAGAACAGCUCACAACAGCCAGAGCACUUCUCAAAAGCCUUUCCUUAUCAGACACAGCCAAAGCCCUCACAUGGACUAAGCAAAAAUACU
Non-coding RNA from Pelobates cultripes (western spadefoot toad), 324 nucleotides. NCBI's taxonomy places the organism in Eukaryota, Metazoa, Chordata, Amphibia, Anura, Pelobatidae. The record is from the annotation of a GenBank genome assembly.